This is a long non-coding RNA of Ruditapes philippinarum (Manila clam), 499 nucleotides long. RefSeq lists it as uncharacterized. Lineage: Eukaryota; Metazoa; Mollusca; Bivalvia; Venerida; Veneridae. The transcript is spliced from 3 exons. The record is from RefSeq and is a predicted model, not a curated record.
UUCAGUUGUUAGCCAUUUUAGGAGCAUGUUUGUUGCUAGAUAGAGGUAGCAAAGUUUCCCCGAUGGCCAGAGUUGAUAGACCGCCGACACCAUACGUUGCCAUGGACCGGAUCAUGAAAACAAAGUUUUAAAGUCGCAAGAUGGAAAUAUAUAUACUUCAGGCCUUCACGGAUUCUUCUCGUUUUUUGCUUGUAUUUGAAAAGGAUACAUCCACUAGAGAACUUUCAUACUUGAUCAACUAUGAUAAUGUUUAGCGAAAAGGGAACCAAAGUUAUGGAAUAACAAAUUAGUCAUUAUUGUUGAUUUUAAACGUUACUCGUAAAAUGUGGUAUUUCAUAAUCCACUAGUAUUGUACUGAGUAUAUUAUUUUUUUUUCUACUUUUAACCCAUGUGCACAUAUUAUAUUAUGAGUAGUCUGGUUACCUGCCCCUGUUACUACGCAAUUGAUAAUCACAGAAUAGUACUAGGCAUGGAACCAUACUUAUGCGUUUUACAAACA